GCUGUGGCUCAGUGGCAGAGCAUCGCCUUGGCAUGCAGAAAGUCCCAGGUUCAAUCCCUGGCAUCUCCA
RNAcentral lists this transfer RNA (69 nucleotides) under Sphaerodactylus townsendi. Its description in RNAcentral is "tRNA-Ala". It matches the Rfam family "tRNA". From Rfam's summary of the family: Transfer RNA (tRNA) molecules are approximately 80 nucleotides in length. Their secondary structure includes four short double-helical elements and three loops (D, anti-codon, and T loops). Further hydrogen bonds mediate the characteristic L-shaped molecular structure. tRNAs have two regions of fundamental functional importance: the anti-codon, which is responsible for specific mRNA codon recognition, and the 3' end, to which the tRNAs corresponding amino acid is attached (by aminoacyl-tRNA synthetases). tRNAs cope with the degeneracy of the genetic code in two manners: having more than one tRNA (with a specific anti-codon) for a particular amino acid; and 'wobble' base-pairing, i.e. permitting non-standard base-pairing at the 3rd anti-codon position. The record is from RNAcentral. Lineage: Eukaryota; Metazoa; Chordata; Lepidosauria; Squamata; Sphaerodactylidae.